This 1129-nucleotide ribosomal RNA is filed under the name uncultured Fusarium. RNAcentral describes it as "eukaryotic LSU rRNA". The stretch from base 505 to 1129 matches the Rfam family "Eukaryotic large subunit ribosomal RNA", at positions 1 to 649 of the family's 3401-position model. Lineage: Eukaryota; Fungi; Ascomycota; Sordariomycetes; Hypocreales; Nectriaceae. The record is from RNAcentral.
AAGUCGUAACAAGGUCUCCGUUGGUGAACCAGCGGAGGGAUCAUUACCGAGUUUACAACUCCCAAACCCCUGUGAACAUACCACUUGUUGCCUCGGCGGAUCAGCCCGCUCCCGGUAAAACGGGACGGCCCGCCAGAGGACCCCUAAAACUCUGUUUCUAUAUGUAACUUCUGAGUAAAACCAUAAAUAAAUCAAAACUUUCAACAACGGAUCUCUUGGUUCUGGCAUCGAUGAAGAACGCAGCAAAAUGCGAUAAGUAAUGCGAAUUGCAGAAUUCAGUGAAUCAUCGAAUCUUUGAACGCACAUUGCGCCCGCCAGUAUUCUGGCGGGCAUGCCUGUUCGAGCGUCAUUUCAACCCUCAAGCACAGCUUGGUGUUGGGACUCGCGUUAAUUCGCGUUCCUCAAAUUGAUUGGCGGUCACGUCGAGCUUCCAUAGCGUAGUAGUAAAACCCUCGUUACUGGUAAUCGUCGCGGCCACGCCGUUAAACCCCAACUUCUGAAUGUUGACCUCGGAUCAGGUAGGAAUACCCGCUGAACUUAAGCAUAUCAAUAAGCGGAAGAAAAGAAACCAACAGGGAUUGCCCUAGUAACGGCGAGUGAAGCGGCAACAGCUCAAAUUUGAAAUCUGGCUCUCGGGCCCGAGUUGUAAUUUGUAGAGGAUACUUUUGAUGCGGUGCCUUCCGAGUUCCCUGGAACGGGACGCCAUAGAGGGUGAGAGCCCCGUCUGGUUGGAUGCCAAAUCUCUGUAAAGUUCCUUCAACGAGUCGAGUAGUUUGGGAAUGCUGCUCUAAAUGGGAGGUAUAUGUCUUCUAAAGCUAAAUACCGGCCAGAGACCGAUAGCGCACAAGUAGAGUGAUCGAAAGAUGAAAAGCACUUUGAAAAGAGAGUUAAAAAGUACGUGAAAUUGUUGAAAGGGAAGCGUUUAUGACCAGACUUGGGCUUGGUUAAUCAUCUGGGGUUCUCCCCAGUGCACUUUUCCAGUCCAGGCCAGCAUCAGUUUUCCCCGGGGGAUAAAGACGGCGGGAAUGUGGCUCUCUUCGGGGAGUGUUAUAGCCCACCGUGUAAUACCCUGGGGGGGACUGAGGUUCGCGCAUCUGCAAGGAUGCUGGCGUAAUGGUCAUCAACGACC